This is a non-coding RNA of Dermacentor albipictus, 273 nucleotides long. The record is from RefSeq and is a predicted model, not a curated record. Lineage: Eukaryota; Metazoa; Arthropoda; Arachnida; Ixodida; Ixodidae.
GGGAAACCUGUAGAAAUAUCACCGCUGGAAAUUAUACGCACGCCUGCCUUAGUCGCCCAAGUUACGUGCUAUAUGUGGAUGAUGACCACAAGGACACCGUGCCGCCAAAGUGCAAGGACGAGUACGACAACAGAAGAGACAAAAUACAUAGACCACACGACUACAAUAUAUACACAGAAGAUUGCAAAACCUAUUAGACAUUAUCGAAUCACUUAUGAGCCACUGCUGUCUUAUACAAAAACUAGGCUUCUUUCCCGGCAACAAUAUUUCAAA